This 375-nucleotide unclassified non-coding RNA is filed under the name uncultured Armatimonadota bacterium. RNAcentral's name for it is "uncultured Armatimonadetes bacterium contains 16S-23S intergenic spacer region". The record is from RNAcentral. Lineage: Bacteria; Bacillati; Armatimonadota.
UCCCGCUUACACGGGCAGUUUCCGAAGAGUUCCCGACUUUACGCUGGCAACAUCGGAUGAGGGUUGCGCUCGUUGCGGGACUUAACCCAACAUCUCACGACACGAGCUGACGACAGCCAUGCAACACCUGUCUUAGGGCUCCCGAAGGCACUCCGAACUUUCAUCCAGAUUCCCUAGAUGUCAAGCCUGGGUAAGGUUCUACGGUUAGUGACGUAUUAAACCACAUGCUCCACCGCUUGUGCGGGCCCCCGUCAAUUCCUUUGAGUUUCAACCUUGCGGUCGUACUCCCCAGGCGGGAUACUUAAUGCGUUAGCUCCGGCACUAGAGGGGUCGAUACCUCUAACACCUAGUAUCCAUCGUUUACGGCUAGGACUA